GACGAACGCUGGCGGCGUGCUUAACACAUGCAAGUCGAACGGGUCUGCCCUGUUUUUUGCGGGGUGGGUCAGUGGCGAACGGGUGAGUAACACGUGAGUAACCUGCCCCUCACUUCUGGAUAACCGCUUGAAAGGGUGGCUAAUACGGGGUGUUCUGGCUGUGCCGCAUGGUGCGGCUGGGAAAUAUUCUCUUUUGUGGUGUUUUGGUGGGGGAUGGGCUCGCGGCCUAUCAGCUUGUUGGUGGGGUGAUGGCCCGCAAAGGCUAUGACGGGUAGCCGGCAUGGGGGGGUGGGAGGGCUGGCUGGAGAGGAGGAACAGCCAAGACGCCAGCGAGACGCAGCAGUGACGGGUAUGGGACGAAGGGGGGAGGACUGAUGCAGCGUCGGCGCGUGAGGGAUGGAGGCCUGCGGGGUGAGAACCUCUUGCGCCGGUGAAGAAGAGCCUGCUCAUUGGGGUGGGGUUGGAGGGAGCCGGGUGAAGAAGCGCCGGCUAACUACGUG
RNAcentral lists this ribosomal RNA (500 nucleotides) under uncultured bacterium. Its description in RNAcentral is "partial 16S ribosomal RNA". It matches the Rfam family "Bacterial small subunit ribosomal RNA", at positions 28 to 507 of the family's 1533-position model. The record is from RNAcentral.